UCGAGGAUCUUCCGCAAUGGGCGCAAGCCUGACGGAGCGACGCCGCGUGGGGGAGGAAGGCCUUCGGGUUGUAAACCCCUGUCACCUGUUAUGAAUCGCCCGUCGUGAACAAUGCCGGGCGUGACAAAGGCAGGAAAGGAAGCCACGGCUAACUACGUGCCAGCAGCCGCGGUAAGACGUAGGUGGCCAGCGUUGUUCGGAAUCACUGGGCAUAAAGCGCACGUAGGCGGCUUUCAAAGUCGGGUGUAAAAUCCCUCGGCUCAACCGAGGAACUGCGCCCGAAACUAGGAGGCUUGAGGUUCGGAGGGGAAGGUGGAAUUCCCGGUGGAGCGGUGAAAUGCGUAGAGAUCGGGAAGAACGCCGGCGGCGAAAGCGACCUUCUGGCCGGAAUCUGACGCUGAGGUGCGAAAGCUAGGGGAGCAAACGGGAUUAGAUACCCCGGUAGUCCUAGCCGUAAACGAUGGGUGCGUAGGUAGUGGUCGUUCCUAUGCGGUCACUGCU
This 501-nucleotide ribosomal RNA is filed under the name uncultured bacterium. RNAcentral's name for it is "bacterial SSU rRNA". It matches the Rfam family "Bacterial small subunit ribosomal RNA", at positions 355 to 847 of the family's 1533-position model. The record is from RNAcentral.